Molecule: ribosomal RNA, 247 nt
Filed under: uncultured bacterium
Lineage: Bacteria
Description: partial 16S ribosomal RNA
Rfam family: Bacterial small subunit ribosomal RNA
Source: RNAcentral
UACGUAGGGGGCAAGCGUUGUCCGGAAUCAUUGGGCGUAAAGAGCGUGUAGGCGGUUCGGUAAGUCCGCUGUAAAAGUCCAGGCUCAACCCUGGAAAGCCGGUGGAAACUGUCGAACUAGAGUCCGGAAGAGGCGAGUGGAAUUCCUGGUGUAGCGGUGAAAUGCGCAGAUAUCAGGAGGAACACCAAUGGCGAAGGCAGCUCGCUGGGACGGUACUGACGCUGAGACGCGAAAGCGUGGGGAGCAA